Molecule: small RNA, 105 nt
Filed under: Marmota monax (woodchuck)
Lineage: Eukaryota; Metazoa; Chordata; Mammalia; Rodentia; Sciuridae
Source: RNAcentral
GCCAGGAGUGGUGGUGCACGCCUGUAAUCCCAACAACUGAGGAGGCUGAGGCAGGAGGGGAUAAGUUCAAGGCCAGCCUGGCAACUGAACAUGACCCUGUCUUAA